Molecule: RNase P RNA, 396 nt
Filed under: uncultured Treponema sp.
Lineage: Bacteria; Pseudomonadati; Spirochaetota; Spirochaetia; Treponematales; Treponemataceae
Description: Bacterial RNase P class A
Rfam family: Bacterial RNase P class A
About the family: Ribonuclease P (RNase P) is a ubiquitous endoribonuclease, found in archaea, bacteria and eukarya as well as chloroplasts and mitochondria. Its best characterised activity is the generation of mature 5'-ends of tRNAs by cleaving the 5'-leader elements of precursor-tRNAs.
Source: RNAcentral
GGCAAUUGCUUAUGAUAGUUUUUGCCGGUGAGAUAAAGUCCGGGCUCCAUCGGAAAAGAUGCCGGAUAAUAACCGGGCGCAAUCUGGCAGCUGCAUAAAUACUUGCACAGCCCAGAGCGCGACAGAUAGUGCAACAGAAAUUGUACCGCUUUUCAUGCUUUUGCAUGAUUAGUAAGGGUGAAAAGGCAGUGUAAGAGACUACCGGUCUGGUCGGUAACGGCCGACGCUUGUAAACCUCAUCUGGAGCAAGGUCAAGCAGCAGUUAUGUUUUUCCGAGCAGGUACUGCGGGUAGACCGCUGGAGCAGGGUGGUAACAUCCUGUGCGGAUAGAUGGUUACGCGUAAAUCUGAUUUUUUUCAGGUUUACAGGACAGAACCCGGCUUAUUGUCCCGUCUG